UGAGCUAAGGGCGAUCUGGCUAUGACAUCUGUCACCCAUUGAUCACCAGGGUUGAUUCGGCUGAUCUGGCAAGAUUUUGUCCCCUUCCUCCCUCACUGUUCCAUGUGCAUCCCUCCUGAAGCUAUGCGCUUAGACAAAGAAGAUGACCUUCCCCCAUAGAGGAGGACUGUUCUUUGGUCAAAAGUAGCUGUGCUCCCUUGCUAGAACCUCCAAACAAGCUCUCAAGGUUCAUAAAUGCCAGUUAGCAAACCCAGAUGACCUAAUCACAUUGGCCAACCCCAUUCACUUUUUGU
Marmota marmota marmota (Alpine marmot) is the source of this 293-nucleotide unclassified non-coding RNA. Its record names the gene 7SK. It matches the Rfam family "7SK RNA". Rfam says of the family: 7SK was discovered as an abundant small nuclear RNA in the mid-70s but a possible function has only recently been suggested. Two independent studies have found that 7SK RNA binds the CDK9/cyclin T complex (known as elongation factor P-TEFb). The record is from Ensembl. Lineage: Eukaryota; Metazoa; Chordata; Mammalia; Rodentia; Sciuridae.